AUGGUUUCCAUUGUCGUCGCGUGGCCUCCUCGGCGCCUGGGAGGAUGUCGAGGAGCUUCCUUGUUGCCGACUCCUUCGCCUACGUGCCUUGAAUCAAGCAGCACCACACCGUACACUCGGCAUCGAGUCGGUUCCCCGCUACUGCUGCUGCCUCCCGUCGACGAGCUCGAUGCAUCCGGCUACCCCCGUGCUAGCUCCCCGACCUCGUCCACGAGCAUCGCAUUUCUCUCCCCAUGCGCGCUAGCGGACUCCUGUGCAAGUGAUGUCGCGCCCCGUGCCGCCGCUGCUGCUCGCUACGCUUGUCGCUGUUGCAGCUGCUUCCACUCCUACCACUUCACCUUGCUCCGCCGCGCCGUGCCCGCCUGCCCGCGCCGUGGCCUUGGUCAGACGAGCCGCUGGCCGCCUCCUUUUCUCCUCGCCGCGGUGCCCUUCCACAGCCCCGCCUUGUUGCCGCUCACCCCGCCCCGCUUCACUGCAGCCACCUGCGCCGGCCGCCCAAGCCCCGCGCUCCUUGCUCGCUGGCCUCGCCCACAACCAACCCAGCCCAGCGAACAGCCUCCAUCGUUACCUUAUUUUCUCCUCUGCCUCCCGCGAACCCUCGCCGCCGCCACCAACGCCGGGCGAUUCCGGCUACUUCCGGCGGCCCUCGCCGGAGCGCAUCACACCAACGAGCUCUCCUCUCGACGGUUCUUCCUUCCCUCUAGCAAAAUUCGCUCCUCGCGGCAGCAAGCGCUCGCGCGCGACCCCUCCCUGCGGCUAGGGUUUCGGCUGCGUCCAACUCCAGCGCGGACGAACAUCAGGUUUGCUAACCAUUUGAUGUCUUUUGUGCAUUGCAGCUACCGAAGCACUAGAACUGCUCUCUUUGAUGGCAUUGAAGAAGGUGGAAUACGAGCACCAGCUUAUUCUUCACAUGAGAUAGAUGAACAUGAGAAUGAGCGAGCUAUGGAUCGAUUGUAGGGAUCGAGUCAGCAUUCUCAAGAGGAGGUGAUCGACGCUGACUAGCGCGGCUGGUAAAGGGUACAAUGUUGGUAAUACAUCUGCUGUUGCUGAUGCCUUCUUGCUUGCUUGCUUGCGAAUGACCUGGGAAUUAUUUCUACUUGGUGCACAGCCUUUGCUUGUUGCAAUUUGCCUCAAAAGCUUGUAUUCAGAAUCUAUAACAAGAUUUCGUACUGCCUUGGAAUUCCUUAUCUCCUUUUACUUGUGGUCAUGCCUAGCACUAUCUUGGUUCAUUGUUUAAUUCCAGGAUUUGUGAGUUCCUAGUAGGGAACACAUGGACACGAAGCUGCGGCGGCGACGACGAUGAUAUCAACAUGGGGCUGCAGCGGCGACGAUGGCGACGACGAGAUCGACAUCGACAUGGGGCUGCGGCGGCCACGACGACGACAGCAUCCUCGCGGUGCUGCGGCGGCGAUGAUGACGACAUCAACACCAUCAAACACGGGCUUGUGGAGGCGCCGGCGACGAUGACCUAUAGGCGUGGUGUAUAUUGUAUAUGUAUGUAUGUAUACAUAUAGGCGAUGAUGACCUACUGGUAUGCAAAAAACCCAUGCUAAUGUAGUGUUUUUUCUAGUA
Molecule: ribosomal RNA, 1572 nt
Filed under: Triticum aestivum (bread wheat)
Lineage: Eukaryota; Viridiplantae; Streptophyta; Magnoliopsida; Poales; Poaceae
Description: partial small subunit ribosomal RNA
Source: RNAcentral